This 736-nucleotide long non-coding RNA is filed under the name Rattus norvegicus (Norway rat). RNAcentral describes it as "long non-coding RNA NONRATT000284". The record is from RNAcentral. Lineage: Eukaryota; Metazoa; Chordata; Mammalia; Rodentia; Muridae.
AAUCCUUUUAUCUGUUGUCAACACUUAAAGAUCAUUACAGAGUCCACACUGGAGAAAAACAUACAAUUGCAAAGAAUGUGGUAAGUUCUUCCAUUGGUUGUCAGACCUUAAAAAACAUUCCAGAAUCUACACUGGAGAGAAACCUUACAAAUGUGGGGAACGUGACAAAUCAUUUACCCACUGCUCAAAUCUUAAAGUUCAUCAGAAAAUUCAUGCUGCGGUGAAACCUUACAAAUAUGAAGAGUGUGGCAGGUUCUUUUAUUGCUUGUCAUACCUUAAAACACAUUCCAGCAUCCAUGGUGGAGAGAAACCUUACAAAUGUGGUGAAUGUGAGAAACCCUUUACCCAUCGCUGUCGUCUUGGAAAGCACAGCAGAAUCCAUACUGGAGAAAAACGUGAACAUAAGAAGCGGAUGAGAGCUUUGAUGAAUGAUUAAGUCAUAGAAAACACCAAGAGUUUAUAUUAAUUCAUGAGGACAAAAUGUAGUCAUAAAAUUCAAACCAGAAAGAGAUCAUAAGAAUGUUCACUGUUGUAAAAUCCUCACGUCUUGUGCAUUAGAAAUCCCAUGCUAGAGAACACAUGAUAUGCACUGAUUUUUUUUCCAAAGCCUUUACCUAGUGUUAAAAUUGUAGAUACAUCUGAAAAUUUAUCCUGAAGGAAAACCCAAAAGACUCCUUUAAUAAUGACUCCUCUUUUUCUUACUUUCAAUGUAAUCAUUGAGGAGUCAGACCAUACA